Pieris napi is the source of this 376-nucleotide long non-coding RNA. RefSeq lists it as uncharacterized. Lineage: Eukaryota; Metazoa; Arthropoda; Insecta; Lepidoptera; Pieridae. The record is from RefSeq and is a predicted model, not a curated record. The transcript is spliced from 3 exons.
AAACACGAUUACCUACUUCGAAUUUUCUUAAAUUAAGUAAUUCAACAACAAUACAACAUUUAAUUUAUUAUUAAAUUUAAAAUGAAAUUCAGUGUUUUUGGAAUCUUUCUUAUGUUGUAUCAAGUAGAAGCCGCUUCGUUAUGGUGUUAUGGAAGCGAAGACUAUCACACAAUUACACCGCUAACAUCACCUUUAGGUUUGCUCGAUUCUCCAUUCAAUGUAAACCUAAGAACCGUUAUAUUUACAUUUGGGUUUAAUGGCAAAGUAAAUGGGAAGGAAACAUUAGCAAUAGUGAACGCUUACAUGAAGUACAAAAAGGAUAAUCCAAUUAACUUUAUUCUACUCGAGUGGGAGAAAGAAGCAGCCAGUGAUUCUG